RNAcentral lists this long non-coding RNA (894 nucleotides) under Sorghum bicolor (sorghum). RNAcentral's name for it is "long non-coding RNA (SBIC_LNC008002)". The record is from RNAcentral. Lineage: Eukaryota; Viridiplantae; Streptophyta; Magnoliopsida; Poales; Poaceae.
GGCCUUCAGUUGGCAUUUUUUUUUGAAUUCUAGGUAUUGUAGUAUUUUUUUUUGUAUUUGGCAAUUAUUGUCUAAUUAUGAACUAACUAAGCUUAAAAGAUUUGUCCUGUAAAAUUAUAGGUAAACUGUGUAAUUAGUUUUUGUUUUCGUCUAUAUUUAAUACUCCAUGUAUGUGCUGCAAGAUUCGAUGUGACGGAGAAUCUGAAAUUUUUUUGGGAACUAAACAAGACAUUACAAUUUUUUUUACAAAAUGGACAUGAAAUUUUUUUUGGAAGUAAACAAGGCAUUACAUUUUUUUUACAAAAUAGACAUCGUAGCACUUUCAUUUGUAUAUUACAGAUUCGUCUCGUAAAUUACAGGCAAAGUGUGCAAAAUCUGUUGAGCUCAAACGCCGAGACUAGAGCUUGUUUAGGUCUAAUCAUGGACUAACUAAACUUAACAAAUUCGUCUCGUAAAUUAUAGGCAAAAUGUGUAAUUAGUCAUUUUUUAUCUAUAUUUAAUGCUCCAUACAUGUGCCGCAAGAUUUGAUAUGACGGAGAAUCUUGAAAAAUUUUACAAAGUUUUUUAGAACCAAACAAGGCCUUAGUUUGUGAAAUUUUUUGACUUUGGCUACUGUAAUAUUUUCAUUUGUAUUUGAUAAUUAUUGUCUAACCAUGGACUAGCUAGGUUCAAAAGAUGUGUCUUGCAUAUUUACGGACAAACUGAACAAUUAAUUAUUUUUUAUUUAUAUUUAAUAGUUUAUACAUAUAUCUAAAGAUUUGAUGUGACGAAGAGUGUUUCUGGCCGCAUGAGGCCCUUGGCUGAUGUGUACUUGUAUAUUUCAACUUUUAUGUAUGAAGAAAUCAACCUUUUUGGUUUUUGUGGCAAUGCACAAAAAUAAUUACUCUCUCUAUU